GUGGGGAAUAUUGGACAAUGGGCGAAAGCCUGAUCCAACCAUGCCGCGUGAGUGAUGAAGGCCUUAGGGUUGUAAAGCUCUUUCAGUAGGGAAGAUAAUGACGGUACCUACAGAAGAAGCCCCGGCUAACUUCGUGCCAGCAGCCGCGGUAAUACGAAGGGGGCUAGCGUUGUUCGGAUUUACUGGGCGUAAAGCGCACGUAGGCGGAUUGGUCAGUUAGAGGUGAAAUCCUGGAGCUCAACUCCAGAACUGCCUUUAAUACUGCCAGUCUAGAGUCCAGAAGAGGUGAGUGGAACUCCUAGUGUAGAGGUGGAAUUCGUAGAUAUUAGGAAGAACACCAGUGGCGAAGGCGGCUCACUGGUCUGGUACUGACGCUGAGGCGCGAAAGCGUGGGGAGCAAACAGGAUUAGAAACCCCGGUAGUCC
This 425-nucleotide ribosomal RNA is filed under the name uncultured bacterium. Its description in RNAcentral is "partial 16S ribosomal RNA". It matches the Rfam family "Bacterial small subunit ribosomal RNA", at positions 354 to 796 of the family's 1533-position model. The record is from RNAcentral.